UUCACUAUUUGAUUUUGAGUUUUAUUUUAAUUAUUUGUAUAAAUAUUUGUAGCACAUUAUUUUGAGCACUUUCUUUUCAUUUGUUUACAUUUUUUUGCACAUUUUAAAUAGGGAUAUGGCAAGUGCGACUAUUAGGCAAUUUGCAACAACUCCACAUGGGGAUUAAAAGGGGAGUCUGUGAUUGUUAAAAGGGGAAACAGCUCCCAAAUCAAAUCAUACUUGUUAAAUAGUUCUUGCGUGCCUCUUUCGGAGAACCACAUACUCUGACGCGGAUGCACUGUUUGUCUGUCUGCUCUUAAGGUGGGUGAAUUUAAAAUGGACUUUGCUGCAGGAACUUUCUCUUUUUUAAAGCUGAUUCAUGUGUACUGUUGUAGGAACUGCACCAUCUGACACUGAUGCAUUGUUUGUAUGUCUACUCUUAAGGUUGCUUGCCCCCGGUGAAGUGAAUGUUGCUGUGCUGUCUCUGUAAGAAGAGGUUGCAGAGUAGUUCUUACUUUGUGUAAGGUCUCGCACACUGCUUGAAUCCUUGAAGGACUUUUAAACUGAGCUGCCAGACAAAGACUUGAUUAGCGAUACAGCGAAGAGAAUGUGUUUGAUUUUAAUGGGGGUUUAUAGUGAAGGCACCUAGUAGUUUAUUUGAAGAAAACUGAUUAUCUGCUUUUUAUCUGUUUAAACUGUCUAUUGUGUAGCUUUUUAUUUUCUUUUAAACUGUGCAUUGUACAGCUGUCUGUCCUUUUGAACUCAUUUGUUAAAUACAUUUCUUUUAAUUUCUAUUGUAUAGAACAGCUGCUACCGUGGAUGAUUUGUGUUUAGAUUGCAAUGGGAUUCAUCUUUUGAACCUUUCCAGACAUUGUUAGGUGUGUUCCAGAGCCCGCCCCUGUAGAGGGGAAGAUAUCUUGCCUUCUGUAAACAGGUAGCACAACCCCACUUUGGCAGAAAUAUCUAUAGGGUAAAAGCAUAGUUGAGCAGGUGCCUGUCUGUUUUAGCUAGGGGAGACAGGUGGUGCUCACCUAGGCAACUAGUGCUGUACUGAGCCAGCGAGCUCUGCGGACCUCUUCUGAUGCCUGAAAUCAAAUAUUGUUGACGAGUUUAAAGAGUAUUGUAAAUUGGUUGUUCCCUUGUUUAAAAAUAAAUAUUCGUAUUGCUUAUAAAUUGUUACCCUGUCUAUUAUUGAUGUUUUGCACUGCUCUUGGUUCUAGUGUACAAAAUAAAAGAAUCUGCGUUGCUGAGCUUUAGAUACAAAUUGAACACUUUAAAUUGUAGUGCUCUUCACUGAGCUGGUGUAGUCAGGCUACCAAAUCUAACACCACUCUUGUUACAGCUUGGUGAUUGUCAGCAGGAUUUUGUUUAAAGUGAUGGAACCUGAGUUUUGCAACACAUUGAUGACAGAGAAUGGCCAGGGAGCAGUUCUGCCACCAGUAGUGAUACAGUUUUUUAUAGGCAACCCCUGGGUCCCUAAAUUUAGAGGGAAAGGUUCAGAUACUCAGCUAGGAGAAAGGAAGGCAAAUCUAAAGACGAUGUUCAGAUUACAAAAUAUAUCUGCAGGUCUUCGGGUAGAUUAUAUUUUGCGUUGUUUAGAAGGUGAUGCAAAGAGAGAAAUCCUUAUUUUACCAGAGCGUGAGAGAAGAUCAGCAGAUCAGGUUUUUGAAGCCUCAGAUUAACUCUAUGGCGAUCGGGUGCCUGCUUCGGUCCUUCGUUCUCUGUUUUUCAGCUGCAAACAAGAAGCCCAGGACGGUGUACAAGGGUUUGCCUUGCGGCUACAAGAAUUGUUAAACAGACUGAAGAAAAGGGAUCCAGGAGGGAUUGGAGAUGAAGAUGUACACCUGAGCGAUCAUGACAUUGCAGGGUGAGUUCUGAAGAAAAAUAUGCCUCGAUUAUGCUUUGACUUUCUGUGGUAUAAAAAGAGACUUUCUGUUGCAGGCAGUGAUGUAUGGGGAUCGGCCAGGAGGUAUUUCUUGUUCUCUUGCAGGUGAAAAUGGACUUGCAAGAGGGGGUUUGAGAAAAUAAUUGCAAAAAAGAUUUGCAAGCAGAAAUGGUCGUAGACGUGACAGAUUGUUUUUCUGAGCUUUCUCAGAGCCUAUUAGGGGAGCUUCACACUGAAUUACACCAUGGGGUGUCAGGAGUGGAAUCCACAAGACAAGUAGCCGAUCUAAGCCCCCGGAAUGCACCUGGGCGAUCACAGCAGGUUGACGAGGAUGGCACCAGGACUUGAGGAUUUGUGUCAAAGAAGCCAAGUGCAGGAGAGUAGCAGCCCUUGAGCAGCGCAAUUGUAUCGGUUUGAAAAAAAGAUGGGACUUAAGAUUCUGUGUCGAUUAAACCGUAGAAAAUUGAAUGCAGUAACUCAUGAAGAUGCUUAUCCACUCCCCUGUAUUGAAGAAUCCUUAACCAGUUUGAAGCAGGCUUGUUGGUUCACCACCCUGGAUAUAGCUAGUGGCUAUUGGCAGCAAACUGCUACAGCAUGGGUUGAAGUUUAAGCUUGAGAAAUGCCACUUACUUUGAAAAGAAGUCCAGUAUUUGGGACAUUGAGUGUCCGAAGCAGGAGUCUCGCCAGACCUGGAUAUAGUAAAAAUUAUUCAGGAGUGGCCACCCUCCACAACAGUGAAGCAGUUGCGGCUCUUUUUGUUCUAAGUUGGCUAUUAUUGCCGCUUUGUCAAAAACCUUGCCAAGAUAGAGAACCCUCUUCACCGAUUAACUGGGAUUUCAUCAGCCGACCGUACUCUCCCUGCCCUAAAGCUGAGAGUGGGAUGAGGAAUGUGUCUCGGCAUUUAGUAAGAUGAAAGAGAUUUUGACAGGCACUCCCAUAUUGGCAUACGCUGAGUUUAUCUUGCCCUUUGUUUUGCACACAGAUGCAAGCAACCAGGGUAUGGGAGCAGUCUUGGCGCAGGUGCAAGACUCACAGGAACGUGUCCUUGAUUAUGCGAGCCAUGGCCGCCAUCCUUCCGAGAGGAAUGACAGCAACUACAGUUCCCUUAAAUUAGAACGUCUUGUUCUUAAAUGGGCGAUUACAGAACAAAAACAUGAAUAUCUGACUGGAUCACUUUUUACUGUACACACUUACAAUAACCCCCAUGUUCAUUUGCAGACUGCAAACCUGGGCAGCCUAGAGCAGAGGUGGGCCGCCCAAUUGGCUAAUUACAAUUUUGAAAUAAAAUAUUUCGUAUUAAUCAAAGUGCUGAUGCAGUGUCUCGUCUCCGCUUGGAUCCAGUAGAGGACCCAGUUGAAGACUGGGACCGGAUAGAAGAGUCUGCUUUUCAAAGGAUCCAUCAGAAAAUAGUUGAAGCUAUGUGUAUAGGGAUGGGCAGAUAAAACCAUGUGGGCUGCCUUGGGAGAACUAAGCCUGAAUGGAAAUGUUUACAAGAGCAGGAUCCUACUCUAAAUAAAGCUUUGUACUUUUUACAGAAUACUACUUCCCCUAACAAUAAAAAAUGAGCAGAGUUACCCAAAGAAGUCAUGGACGUCCUGCGACAGAAAGAACAGCUUGUUUUCAAGGAAGAGUGCUGCUAAGGACUAACCAAGAACUUAAAGAACAGAGGUUAAUGCACCAAUUGAUCGUUCCCGCAAGGGAACUUUGCUUUAUUUGGGAGUUGUAUCAUACACAAGCCGGACAUGGGGGCGUCAAUAAGACUCUUUCGUUGCUGCGAACCAGAUUCUAUUGGCCUGGCAUGACAAGUCAAACAUCUGCUUGGUGUGCUGAAUGCCCAAUUUGUGCAUUAAGGAAACCUCCACCUAACUAGGGGUGUGCUGCUCCAUUGGUGCCAGUUCAGACUUCAGCACCGUUAGAACUGGUUGCUAUGGACUUUUUGCAGCGGGCCUGCCAGAAGAUUCUUACCCCAAUGUAUUGGUUAUCUCAUGACCAAACAGCAACUACUACUGCACUGGUACUAUGACAACAGCUUAGGAGAGCCGAAGUGGGCAUCCUCCGAUCCCAGGACUGAGCCCAUUCUCCCAUUCAUCCAGGAGCUCGAGAGGUGGUUCCGGCCCCUGGUGGACAACGGCCAGCCUUACAUGUGUCCUCUUGAGCAUUCGGGUCACCUGUCAAGUAGGGAUUGCAGCAGGAUGGUAUCAGGCUUUUAAAGACACACCUGUGGUGGCUUUGACAGACUCACUGAGAGCAGAAACUGAUCCAAGACUGUGACAGCUACUGGAAGCAGGCUGAUCUUUGGGAUGCAAAUUGAACAUCUGUGAAACUGCAUGUGUGUUAAAAUGUUGUAAUAACUGUACUGUGUGUUUUAAAGAAUAUAAAGCCAGCAGAAAUACUAAACAAAUUGUUAAAACACACUGUUCAUACAAAAAGUUAUAAUAUGCUCUGUACUAACAUAUAGUUAUGCUACAGCAUUCUAUAUUCCUGUUUAUUCUGUUAUAACAGUAAAAAUUAUUAUUGUAUCUUUGUAAGUCUGAGUAAAAAGAGAGCUAGGUUGGGGUCACGCUGACCAAAAAACACCUGUGAAAUGAGCUAGGCUUGUCUUUGUCUGAGCUACUGGUGCCAAGGCUUAUAACCUUGAGGAGGAAAGCAGAAAUGAGAAUCUCAUUUAACUUAAAGUAAAAACUUCAGUCAAAGCAUAAUGGUACCAGUUUGUGUCAGGCAUAUAGUAGGAUCUGCCAAAGAGAAUGUAAUUCAUUUGUUAACCUUGUCUUUGCUUGAAACAAAAAGGUACCUGACGCGAGGGUAAUCGAAGGAAAUAAAUGUUCAAUGUUUGGAAAUAAGUUUCAAUGUUCGGGGGGUUUGAAAUCCAAGGUUUCUAUAAUGAGUGAUCUUUUACAUAUAAGAAAUACCUCCUGGUACAGGAAAGGGGUGUCAGUGGUGAACUAUAUAUGGCUUCAUUAAAUCAUAGAAAUUAAUGAAGACCUGGUAAAAACAAGUGAGGGGAAGCCAUAGCAUAGGACCAUGUUAUGCCAUACGUCUGAGAAAAUGCUUACAGAAGACUCUUCUACUAAUGCUGGCUAAUUAAUUUUAUGGAGGGAGUUACCGGAUGUUUUGAAAAUAUUAAUUUGAAGGACAUGAGCUGUUAAGGCUGAUUAAUGUUUAAGAUUUAAUUAUGACUUCUGACGUAAAAAGCGAAGCAAAAACUCUGUAAAAACCGAGGUAAAAUCUUACUCAAGUGUCACUCAACUUGCUAACUACAAGCUGAUGUGUCCAUGCUCUGAAGAUCUCUGAUCGAGCUAAUUGCUGUUUGGGUCAUAUUCAGAAGUCUUUGCCUUUUGAAUACAGUUCCUGUCCUUAUAUUAUAUUCUACACUUCCAUAUAUAUUUUGGAAGGUAAGAACUAUUUUGAAUCUAUAUCUCGUUUAUAUUGAUGCAUUGCUAUAAGGUAUAUGACUUUUAGUCUAAGAGUGAUAUAUUGGAUGUUCUAGGAUUUAGCGGUGGGCGUUUUUAGCUCCAUGCAUAGCCUUAGGGCAAAACAUGUUGUAACCAUAAAUGUAUUGGAGUAUUAAUGCUAUUAUACCUGUUAAGGCACUGGACCGCCCAGAUUGCCUGUCAGCUGGGAUUCUAUGUAGUCUGUAAUUACUCAAUCCAUUUAAGCCUUUAAUA
Acipenser ruthenus (sterlet) is the source of this 5529-nucleotide long non-coding RNA. RefSeq lists it as uncharacterized. The record is from RefSeq and is a predicted model, not a curated record. The transcript is spliced from 5 exons. NCBI's taxonomy places the organism in Eukaryota, Metazoa, Chordata, Actinopteri, Acipenseriformes, Acipenseridae.